GACGAACGCUGGCGGCGUGCUUAACACAUGCAAGUCGAACGGAAAGGCCCUGCUUUUGUGGGGUGCUUGUGUGGCGAACGGGUGAGUAACACGCGUGUAUACUGCCCCUGUAUUUGGGAUAACUUCAGGAAACUGGGGAUAUUACCGGAUAGGAGCUUCUGCUGCAUGGUGGGGGUUGGAAAGUUUCGGCGGUUGGGGAUGGACUCGCGGCUUAUCAGCUUGUUGGUGGGGUAGUGGCUUACCAAGGCUUUGACGGGUAGCCGGCCUGAGAGGGUGACCGGCCACAUUGGGACUGAGGGACGGCCCAGACUCCAACGGGAGGCAGCAGUGGAGAAUAUUGCACAAUGAGCGGAAGCCUGAGGCAGCAACGCCGCGUGCGGAAUGACGGCCUUCUGGUUGUAAACCGCUGUCGCCUGUGACGAAGCGUGAGUGACGGUAAUGGGUAAAAAAGCACCGGCUAACUACGUG
RNAcentral lists this ribosomal RNA (468 nucleotides) under uncultured bacterium. RNAcentral's name for it is "partial 16S ribosomal RNA". It matches the Rfam family "Bacterial small subunit ribosomal RNA", at positions 28 to 507 of the family's 1533-position model. The record is from RNAcentral.